GUGAGUGCUUAACAAAUACCACUGAGAAAAAAACAAAAAAAAAAAGGAUGGAACCUGUCUCUCUGGUGGAGGCCUGGCCCACUCACCACUGCUGGGGAAUCCAAAGCCAACUACUGUGCUUUUGGAACAGUUUCAACUUUCAAAGUUGUGGGUACUUUCUACAGUUUCUGAUCAAUGACAUGGUCAAAGGAAUCCAGGGCACGCCUACCUCAUUUGGCCGGGGUUGUUAACACUUUGGAAGAUAAAAAGAGAGCUCAAAAUGACCCAAACUGGAAACAUGGCUCUAUAGAAACGGGAUAAAAUUUAACAGGGGCUGGUGCAGGAACAGAAACAAACUCCCCUAAUCUGGGGAGGGCAGGAAGGCUGACUAGGCGCAAAGGCAGCAGAAAAGACUAGAAGCAAAACAUCAGUCAGCCAUAUAUUAAAAAACUAACACAGUUCUAGGGUGCAUCAAGAGGAAUACAACAAGCAAGAAUAAGGAAGUAUCCUUUUCGCUGCUACACCCUGAACCAGUCACACUCUUGCUAGGGGUACUGUGGCUGCCUAGGAGCACUGUACUUGGAAAAGAAAACCAACGGUAAGAAACUAGCAUGUUUACUGAAGUGAUAAAAAUCAGUAAAGGGCUAGGAAAUAGGAUGAAUGAUGGUCUCCAAACACCUGAAGAGCUUCACUGAAAAGCGGUUCUCUGUGUUUGUAUCCCCUGAGCAUCUGGCUCAUUUUUACCCAGGUGCAGAUUCCCACUGCUGCGGACAACUGCUCAUAACGGUUCAGGGGAGGCCAAAGGAAGAAAACAAAUAUCAAUCAGUGAUGACUUUGUGCACACAUACGUAAAGAUGCCUGAAAUAAUCAAAGAAAACUAGAAAAGGACGUUAAAAUAGACAAAAAGGACUUGAAUUAUCUAAUCUUCAUUCUUUGGAUUCUCAGCCCCCAAGACUUCGUGCCUUGAUCCAUUGAUGAGAGACUCCAUCCGGAUCAUCAUCUUUGCCUCAGGAAAAGGUGGCCUAGAAACCUCACCGAUGCCAAGAAACACUACCUUUCCAGGCCAUGUUAGUAUAGAGGAUGUCUUACUGGCUGCCCUCCCUAUGGAUGGCUCUAUCUCCAAACCCUUGAACACUGUAAACAGAAAUUCCCACAGUCCAACAAUCACAGCAGUGUGGCCUAGUGGAAAGAGCAAGGGCCUGGAUUCUGAUCUUGGC
Molecule: long non-coding RNA, 1196 nt
Organism: Ornithorhynchus anatinus (platypus)
Lineage: Eukaryota; Metazoa; Chordata; Mammalia; Monotremata; Ornithorhynchidae
Exons: 3
Source: RefSeq, a predicted model, not a curated record